Macaca fascicularis (crab-eating macaque) is the source of this 1980-nucleotide long non-coding RNA. The record is from Ensembl. NCBI's taxonomy places the organism in Eukaryota, Metazoa, Chordata, Mammalia, Primates, Cercopithecidae.
GUUCCACUCCCGCCUCUGCCAGCCCUCAACGCCUGGCCGGGUUCUCUGCCCGUCGGACUCCCGCUCCCACCCACCGGGUCCGCCAGGCUCAGGAUCCCGAGAUUCGCCGCCCGUCGCAGCGGCCGCGCUUCGGCCCCUCAGGGCCCGGGGCUCACCUAUAGCCCGGGAGACUCCGGCGGGGCCCCUGCCCGGGCCCGGGCGCCCAGGCUGCGGCAGCGGAUGCCAACGCCUCUGCCCGAGGAGAGCGGCGGCCUCGAUGCCCCAGCGCCCUCCCUGUCCAGUUCCUGGAAGGACAGGGGCGAGGCCGGGGAGGCGCUGGAGCGGGGCCGAGUGGGCUUUCGGGGCCGCGGGUGACCUGGAGUCCGGAUCCGGCCCGCUGCGGCCAGUGGAGGCCUUUCCACCCUCGCCGCGCCCCGUGGGGAAUAGUCCCCCAUCUCCCGCCAUGGCUGCAGCAGCAGGAGACGACGUCCUCCAUUUUGUCGGGACGACUGUGGGAACUUGGGACCCCCUAAAAACCAAACCCUCUGGGGCCAGGACUUGUCCCCGGGAAGCCCCGACUGGGCUCUGCCAUUCGGCCAAGGGAACAGUCCCGGCUGCUGGCGUCUGCGUCCGCCGGGCCGUACGGGACGGGCACGACGGUGGAGAAACCCGGACGCCGCUCCCCGCCUCCGUCAACCAAGAUGGAGGGAGCUGCGGGCUCCCCUGGAGCUGGGCUCCCGCCGGCUGGAGGGGCCGAGGCCCGCCCUGGGGCGUCCCUGGGCGCCGCCGUCCUGCCCGGGGCGCUGGCCCUGCCCAGGCCGCUCUACCGCCUGCCACCGUCUCCUGGUCCUGAACGGUUGAUGGAGGCUCCCUCCACAGCCCGCUCAGUCGCGGGGAGCACCCGCUGCGGCCCCCGGGGGAGCGGCGUCAGGGACAGACGGCGCCCGGGAGGGCGGGCCCCACAGGCCAACUCCACGAGGGGUCUUCUCUUUUGUUCCUGGUCUACACCUACGUCUUCGGCGGAUCUCAUGGUGCUGAACCAUUUCCAAGACUCACGUAAAGAUGGAAGCGAUGCCGGCUUCGUCUCGCCCUGGCGGUUCUUAGUGGGAUUACAACUGACGGUGUUAGUUUGGAUAAAAGUUGAUGAAACUUACCUUAUGUCUGGAAAUAGAUAAUGUGAUUUUUGAAAAACACAUUGAGCCCCGUUUUACUAAUGUGGUAUCGUAAAGGCACAGGUUUAUUCAAUGAAAGUCAGACAUGAACCAUCUAAUGCAGGGAUGGCCAAUCUUUUGGCUUCCCCGGACCACACUGGAAGAAUUGGCUUGGGCCACACAUAAAAUAGGCUCACACUAACAAUAGCUGAUGAGCUAAAACAAACAAAAAAAACCAAAACGCCAAAGAAAAUCAUAAUGUUUUAAGAAAAUUUACAUACAUGUGUUGGGCUGCAUUUAAAGCCGUCCUGGGCCACAUGCAUCCCCCAAGGGCUGCAGGUUGGACAAGCUUGAUCUAAGACAAAAAAGCAUGUUCAUGGAUUGAUGAGAGUGCUGUGUAAGCCUUUGCAUAUUACAUAGUGCUGUAUGUCAUGGACAUGCCUAUUACCACCUACAUUUUUUAGGUCCUCAAUUACUCUUUGGAAAUAAAUGAAUUACAUGUAAUGUCAUUUUAAUGACUGCUGUAAAUUACAAGCACUGAGUACACCGGGUUCGUGGAGAAGGGCUCCUCCAUAGAGAAAAGUUAAAGGUCUGACAAACUUUAAACGGUAAGCUCAGUAGCCACAUGUCAUGUAUUUUCUGAUUAUCAUUUUUAACCACGUCUCUACUGAAAAUACAAAAAAUUAGCCGUGCGUAGUGGCGGGCACCUGUAGUCCCAGCUACUCGGGAGGCUGAGGCCGGAGAAUGCUGUGAACCUGGGAGGCAGAGCUUGCAGUGAGCAAAGAUCACGCCACUGCACUCCAGCCCGGGCGACAGAGCAAGACUCCAUCUCAAAAAAAAAAAAAAAAAA